Arachis ipaensis is the source of this 2722-nucleotide non-coding RNA. NCBI's taxonomy places the organism in Eukaryota, Viridiplantae, Streptophyta, Magnoliopsida, Fabales, Fabaceae. The record is from RefSeq and is a predicted model, not a curated record.
GGUUAAGUACGGAGUGAAGUUUUACUCUUAGAAACUAAAAGUAAUAUCCUCAAAAUAAACAAAAUAAAAAUCUAGAAAGUAAAUUGUUGGAUUCAAUGAUUCAAAAAGCACUCUCGUUAAUUUUCGUUAGAGUUCUAGUCUAGACAUGUAAAAGCAGUAGCAAAUUUCUCUUAGUUGGGAGGUGGCUGUUAUUCAGAAUUCGGAAGGAAUCAGCAAUGUUGUAUGCAACAAGGUUUAGGUAUUCUGUUCGUAAAAUCCCUAAUUUUGUUCCACUCUCUACUCUUCCUCCUUCCUGUUCCUGUUCAUGGACAAGCCUUCACUUUCAUUCUGAGCCUCCAUCCCUUCGUGAAGUUGAUGAUGCUGUUGAUUCCUUCACUCGCAUGCUCUCUAUGCGUCGUACUCCUCCCAUCCUUCAAUUUAACAAGAUUUUGGGAUCUCUUGCCAAGACGAACCAUUUCCACGCCGCCAUUUCCCUUUUUCAACAAUUGCAAGCCAGAGGAAUUGCGCCCAGCAUAGUCACUUUGAAUAUCUUAAUCAAUUGUUGCUGCGGCAUGGGUCGGAUCACUCUCGCUUUCUCUGUAUUCGCCAAGAUUCUCAAGAUGAGUUUUCAGCCUGGUACCAUAACAUUGAAUACACUCAUUAAAGGUCUCUGUCUCUGUGGCAAGGUUGAAAAAGCACUGCACCUUCACAACACAAUGCUAGCCCAAGGAUUUCAGUUUAAUCAAGUUACUUAUGGGACCUUGAUCAAUGGGCUCUGUAAGAUAGGACACACAUCAGCUGCUGUUCAGGUGUUGAGAAAGAUCCCACGGCAUGGAAUUGUUCCUAAUGUUGUCAUGUACAAUGCAAUUAUUGAUAGCCUCUGCAAGGUUACCCUUUUAAAUGAUGCUUUUUAUUUAUUCUCUGAAAUGCUUGCUAAGGGAAUUUCUCCCAAUGUUAUCACGUACAACACUCUAAUUUAUGGAUUGUGCCUUGCGGGUCAACUAAAGGAAGCCAUUGAUUUACUAAAUCAUAUGAUGCUGAAAAACAUUACUCCAAAUGUUCGUACCUACAGUACUUUGAUUGAUGGACUAUGUAAGGAAGGAAGGAUCAAAGAUGCUAAGAGUGUGUUGGCUAUGAUGACAAAAGAUGGUGUGAAACCAGAUGUGGUUACUUAUAAUUGUUUAAUGGAUGGGUAUUGCUUGGUUAACGAAUUAAACAAGGCAAAAUGUAUAUUCGACGCAAUGGCCGAGAUUAAAGCGUCUCCUAAUGUUCGGAGUUACAAUAUCAUGAUUAAUGGCUUUUGCAAAAGUAAAAUGAUCGACGACGCCUUGAAUCUCUUCGAAGAGAUGCAUCGCAAAAACUUGGUUCCUAACACAGUAACUUACAGUAUUCUAAUUGAUGGCCUGGGAAAAUCAAAGAGAAUCCUUUGUGCCUUGGAGCUUCUUGAAAAGAUGCAUGAUCGAAGUCAACCCGCUAAUAUAGUCACUUACAGUUCCUUGAUGGAUGCUUUGUUCAAUAUCAAACAACAUGACAAGGCACUUAUGUUAUUCAAUCAAAUGAAAGAGAUUGGCAUUGAUCCAGAUAUAUAUACAUACAACAUACUUAUAGAUGGCCUGUGCAAAAGUGGAAGACUUGAAAAUGCAAAAGAGAUUUUUCAAGAUCUUUCCAUUAAAGGCUAUCAUCCAGAUGUGAGAACAUACACUAUUAUGAUAAAUGGGCUUUGCAAAGAGGGCCUACUUCAUGAAGCAUUGGCUUUCUUGUCAAAAAUGGAAGACAAUGGUUGCUUACCAAAUGCUAUGACUUAUGAAAUAAUCAUUCGUGCUCUGUUUGAAAGAGGUGAAAAUGAUAACGCGGAGAAACUUCUUCGUGAAAUGAUAUCUAAAGGCCUGUUGCAAGGAUAAAAGAUGUUAUACCUGAAGCAUAUUAUACCAAAGCAAUCGUUUUGAUAAAAAAUAGUUACUGAUUCAAACUUCAAAGCCAAAGGAUUUUGAUCAAACACUAGCCGCUUGCACAAUCUCCAAGCACCCCAAAGAGUAGCAAGAAACAUUUGCACAGGUGGAAGCACUCUUCAAUUCAACACAUUCCCUUUUGUGAUACUCCAUUGAUUGCAAGAAAAGAAUGUUGUCAUUGUUCUCAUCCUCACCAAUCAAAUUAAGUCCCAAUCACUUGAUGAAGCUAUUGAUUCCUUCACUCGCAUGCUCUCUAUGUGUGGUACUCCAUCCAUCAUCCAGUUCACCAAGAGUAGAGUUUGAAGAAAAGUUCUCAGAAAUUGAAAAUGAGAAUCAAGCUAGAAUUAAAGUAGCAGAAGAAGGACAACUAAAAGCAACACAACUUCAAGAGAGAAAUUAUAAAUUGAUGCAGACACAGGGAAACAAACUUGUGAAUAUCAAGGCAGUUCAAAUUUCCAAAUUCAGUAUCUGCCUACUACACUUGCAUACGUACAAAUAUGUACCAAACUAAGAAUCUAUUGUUUCUCAAACACAAAAUGAAUUUAUAUAAUUUUCAUCAUCAUUUAGUUAUAGUCACCAUGAAAUCAAUUGAUCAACUACCUAUCCACAUCAUUUAGUUAUAAAUUCAUUUUGUGUUUGAGGAACAAUAAAUUCUUAGUUUUUAUGUAUUAGAAAGCAUGUAAGUUUAGUAGGUAAAUACUGAAUAUUACUGGGUUAGAGUACACAAAAUGAGGAUAUUAUUGUUCAUUUCCCUAGCAUGCACAUAUGCAGUUGAGCGGUGUUAAGGUAGUUGG